RNAcentral lists this ribosomal RNA (497 nucleotides) under uncultured bacterium. RNAcentral's name for it is "partial 16S ribosomal RNA". It matches the Rfam family "Bacterial small subunit ribosomal RNA", at positions 28 to 507 of the family's 1533-position model. The record is from RNAcentral.
GACGAACGCUGGCGGCGUGCCUAAUACAUGCAAGUUGAGCGAUGAAGAUUGGUGCUUGCACCAAUUUGAAGAGCAGCGAACGGGUGAGUAACGCGUGGGGAAUCUGCCUUUGAGCGGGGGACAACAUUUGGAAACGAAUGCUAAUACCGCAUAAUAACUUUAAACAUAAGUUUUAAGUUUGAAAGAUGCAAUUGCAUCACUCAAAGAUGAUCCCGCGUUGUAUUAGCUAGUUGGUGAGGUAAAGGCUCACCAAGGCGAUGAUACAUAGCCGACCUGAGAGGGUGAUCGGCCACAUUGGGACUGAGACACGGCCCAAACUCCUACGGGAGGCAGCAGUAGGGAAUCUUCGGCAAUGGACGAAAGUCUGACCGAGCAACGCCACGUGAGUGAAGAAGGUUUUCGGAUCGUAAAACUCUGUUGGUAGAGAAGAACGUUGGUGAGAGUGGAAAGCUCAUCAAGUGACGGUAACUACACAGAAAGGGACGGCUAACUACGUG